GACGAACGCUGGCGGCGUGCUUAACACAUGCCAGUCGAACGAAGAGCGAUGGAAGCUUGCUUCUAUCAAUCUUAGUGGCGAACGGGUGAGUAACGCGUAAUCAACCUGCCCUUCAGAGGGGGACAACAGUUGGAAACGACUGCUAAUACCGCAUACGGUCUAAUCUCGGCAUCGAGGAUAGAUGAAAGGUGGCCUCUACAUGUAAGCUAUCACUGAAGGAGGGGAUUGCGUCUGAUUAGCUAGUUGGAGGGGUAACGGCCCACCAAGGCGAUGAUCAGUAGCCGGUCUGAGAGGAUGAACGGCCACAUUGGGACUGAGACACGGCCCAGACUCCUACGGGAGGCAGCAGUGGGGAAUCUUCCGCAAUGGACGAAAGUCUGACGGAGCAACGCCGCGUGAGUGAUGACGGCCUUCGGGUUGUAAAGCUCUGUUAAUCGGGACGAAAGGCCUUCUUGCGAAUAGGGAGAAGGAUUGACGGUACCGGAAGAGAAAGCCACGGCUAACUACGUG
RNAcentral lists this ribosomal RNA (510 nucleotides) under uncultured bacterium. RNAcentral's name for it is "partial 16S ribosomal RNA". It matches the Rfam family "Bacterial small subunit ribosomal RNA", at positions 28 to 507 of the family's 1533-position model. The record is from RNAcentral.